This 253-nucleotide ribosomal RNA is filed under the name uncultured bacterium. RNAcentral's name for it is "partial 16S ribosomal RNA". It matches the Rfam family "Archaeal small subunit ribosomal RNA", at positions 474 to 727 of the family's 1478-position model. The record is from RNAcentral.
UACCCGCAGCACAAGUGGUGGUCAUUAUUAUUGGGCCUAAAGCGUCCGUAGCUGGCCUGUUAGAUGCCUGGGUAAAUCGAUGCGCUCAACGUAUCGAACUCCGGGUAGACCGGCAGGCUUGGGACCGGGAGAGAUGUGAGCUACUCGAGGGGUAGGGGUGAAAUCCUGUAAUCCUUCGGGGAGGACCAGUGGCGAAGGCGUCACAUUAGAACGGCUCCGACAGUGAGGGACGAAGCCCUGGGGCGCAAACCGG